This 459-nucleotide ribosomal RNA is filed under the name uncultured bacterium. Its description in RNAcentral is "partial 16S ribosomal RNA". It matches the Rfam family "Bacterial small subunit ribosomal RNA", at positions 338 to 795 of the family's 1533-position model. The record is from RNAcentral.
CCUACGGGAGGCAGCAGUGAGGAAUAUUGGUCAAUGGCCGGAAGGCUGAACCAGCCAAGCCGCGUGAGGGAGGAAGGCGCAGAGCGUCGCAGACCUCUUUUGCCGGGGGACAAAAGGCCGGACUCGUCCGGUCCUGAGGGUACCCGGAGAAAAAGCAUCGGCUAACUCCGUGCCAGCAGCCGCGGUAAUACGGAGGAUGCGAGCGUUAUCCGGAUUUAUUGGGUUUAAAGGGUGCGCAGGCGGGCCUUUAAGCCGGCGGUGAAAUCGCGGGGCUCAACCCCGCCGAGCCGUGGGAACUGGGGGCCUUGAGUGCGGCGGAGGCAUGCGGAAUGCGCGGUGUAGCGGUGAAAUGCAUAGAUAUCGCGCAGAACCCCGAUUGCGAAGGCAGCGUACCGGCUCCACACUGACGCUGAGGCACGAAAGCGUGGGUAUCGAACAGGAUUAGAUACCCCUGUAGCC